AGUGAACGCUGGCGGUAGGCCUAACACAUGCAAGUCGAACGGCAGCACAGUAAGAGCUUGCUCUUACGGGUGGCGAGUGGCGGACGGGUGAGGAAUACAUCGGAAUCUACUUUUUCGUGGGGGAUAACGUAGGGAAACUUACGCUAAUACCGCAUACGACCUACGGGUGAAAGCAGGGGAUCUUCGGACCUUGCGCGAUUGAAUGAGCCGAUGUCGGAUUAGCUAGUUGGCGGGGUAAAGGCCCACCAAGGCGACGAUCCGUAGCUGGUCUGAGAGGAUGAUCAGCCACACUGGAACUGAGACACGGUCCAGACUCCUACGGGAGGCAGCAGUGGGGAAUAUUGGACAAUGGGCGCAAGCCUGAUCCAGCCAUGCCGCGUGGGUGAAGAAGGCCUUCGGGUUGUAAAGCCCUUUUGUUGGGAAAGAAAAGCAGCAGGUUAAUACCCCGCUGUUCUGACGGUACCCAAGGAAUAAGCACCGGCUAACUUCGUG
This 492-nucleotide ribosomal RNA is filed under the name uncultured bacterium. RNAcentral describes it as "partial 16S ribosomal RNA". It matches the Rfam family "Bacterial small subunit ribosomal RNA", at positions 29 to 507 of the family's 1533-position model. The record is from RNAcentral.